Molecule: ribosomal RNA, 430 nt
Filed under: Pseudomonadota bacterium
Lineage: Bacteria; Pseudomonadati; Pseudomonadota
Description: Proteobacteria bacterium partial 16S ribosomal RNA
Rfam family: Bacterial small subunit ribosomal RNA
Source: RNAcentral
UGGGGAAUAUUGGACAAUGGGGGGAACCCUGAUCCAGCCAUGCCGCGUGUGUGAAGAAGGCCUUAUGGUUGUAAAGCACUUUAAGCGAGGAGGAGGGUACUGGUAUUAAUACUACCAGGUACUGGAAGUUACUCGCAGAAUAAGCACCGGCUAACUCUGUGCCAGCAGCCGCGGUAAUACAGAGGGUGCGAGCGUUAAUCGGAUUUACUGGGCGUAAAGCGUGCGUAGGCGGCUAAUUGAGUCGGAUGUGAAAUCCCCGAGCUUAACUUGGGAAUUGCAUUCGAUACUGGUUAGCUAGAGUGUGGGAGAGGAUGGUAGAAUUCCAGGUGUAGCGGUGAAAUGCGUAGAGAUCUGGAGGAAUACCGAUGGCGAAGGCAGCCAUCUGGCCUAACACUGACGCUGAGGUACGAAAGCAUGGGGAGCAAACAGG